Molecule: long non-coding RNA, 349 nt
Organism: Oncorhynchus tshawytscha (Chinook salmon)
Lineage: Eukaryota; Metazoa; Chordata; Actinopteri; Salmoniformes; Salmonidae
Source: Ensembl
CAGCAGCCUUAUGCACACAGCUCCUCUUUAAAAUAAUAUCUGUAACAAUAGGGGUAUGAAACCACAGACAGGUGAGAGGUAGGAGCAGACAGGUGAGAGGUAGGAUCAGACAGGUGAGAGGUAGGAGCAGACAGGUGAGAGGUAGGAGCAGACAGGUGAGAGGUAGGAGCAGAGAGGUAGGAGCAGACAGGUAAGGGGGAGGAGGUAGGAGCAGACAGGUGAGGGUAGGAGCAGACAGGUGAGGGGUAGGAGCAGACAGAUAGGAGGUAGGAGCACACAGGUAAGGGGUAGGAGCAGACGGGUAAGGGGUAGGAGCAGACAGGAUGGAUGUAGUAGCAGACAGGUAGGG